Long non-coding RNA from Gossypium arboreum, 485 nucleotides. RefSeq lists it as uncharacterized. Lineage: Eukaryota; Viridiplantae; Streptophyta; Magnoliopsida; Malvales; Malvaceae. The record is from RefSeq and is a predicted model, not a curated record. The transcript has 2 exons.
UUAUUGUGCUAUUUAAAAUAAAAAAACUGUUUUAAAAUCUUUUUUACUUUAGCCACUUUUUUUUAAAGAAAAAAAAAUCCUUAAUGCUCUCUAACUCUCCCCAUUUCCCCUUUUCUUUUCAGCCGAAAGGCUCAUCUCAAGCCCUCAGCCACCCUCCAAAAUCUGAUUACGACCAACAAAGCAAGACCCUUCGACAGCGAAAACACGAUGCAACUCCGAUGUGUCAGGUGUGGGUGGUGCACGUGAUGGCCAAAGGCAGAGGGGCAUGCGGCUGAACUUUGGUGGCUGCAUCUUAGGGAAGUGUUUACUGCUGAAAAAAAACCUUAAGCAAGUGGGCUAUUAUUUGGGCUAGGGUCUGAUGUAAAUUGGGCUGUUUAAUAUUGUAAAUGGGCUAUUUAUUUGGUUAUGUUUGGAUUUGGUUUUAUUGGGCCCCAAGUAAAGUUUAGGUCUUACAAUAAUAUAUGAUAAUAAUUAUCUUUUAGUAA